This is an RNA transcript of Perca flavescens (yellow perch), 1778 nucleotides long. It is a transcript of the gene named complement factor H-related protein 4-like, with no coding region annotated. NCBI's taxonomy places the organism in Eukaryota, Metazoa, Chordata, Actinopteri, Perciformes, Percidae. The record is from RefSeq and is a predicted model, not a curated record. The transcript has 7 exons.
AAUCCCCUGCUGGGUCUUCUUACUAAUAACAACUGUUUUCGUCUUCUCUGAGGUGAUUUUCGACCAUUUUCGACGCACUUCUUUUGACAUUCUGAACUACCGCAGAAAUGUCAGAGCACGUCACGUGACCAUUCUAAGCGAAUCACGUUGUCAGAAAUUGGCAUCAGCCAAUGAGAUUGCCCUUUUAGAAUCAAAUCCCCCUUUUACUUCCACGAUUGGUUGCUGAUGAAAAGGAGAUUGCCAUAUUUGGAUCCGACAGCAUUGUAGAGGAGAGAGCUUUCCAGCGGCAUAUGCAUUGGGUAUAUGAGAUGACAGGGUGCAGACAGCGAUCGCGGAGCAGCGGGAUGAUUAAGACCGCUGCGAAGUACACACCGUUGCCAUGAAAAACAGAGCGUUGCUAUCGCUACACACAGCCUACGACGUAGCUACGGCGGCAGUUCGACGCGAGGCGUUUGUGCAAAACUGCGGAAAAACUGCAGAUAAAGUGUGGGUGUUGAACCCUCUCACCGGGAAAAGUGUGGGUGUUAAAACACCCACAUCCCCCACGGGUGCGACGCCACUGAAGGGGAGGGAUGGUAAUCAAGGAGGAGAAUUCACUCUAACCUGUGGAGGAGAUGGUUGGAUCGGGAGGUCAACGUGUACAGAAAUAACAUGUGACAGAAAGGAUUUGCGAGAGGCAGAUAUUGUUUACAAUAACAAGCAGAGAUACCGCUACAAUGAACAGGUCCGUUAUCGCUGCAGGGAUGGUUACCAAGGAGGAGAAUUCACUCUAACCUGUGGAGGAGAUGGUUGGAUCGGGAGGUCAACGUGUACAGAGAGUGUAGGCUGUGGGAGUCCACCACCUCUCACAGAUGGAGACAUCAAGUACACCAUUAAAAGUAAUUACAGCCAUCAAGAAAGGGUUGAAUUCAUGUGUCAAAGUUAUUACACCAUGGAGGGUGGACCUAACAGAACCUGCAUCAACGGUGAAUGGACCGGACAGAUGAGAUGCCUCAAACCCUGUAUUGUGAAUGAAGAUGUCUAUAGACAACACAACAUUACUAUAAAAUCUAGUGACAGUACAUUUUUCACUCAUGAUGAAAUAAUUGAGUUCAGGUGUGCCAGAGGAGUACCAGUCGGUGCAGUGGCAAUGCGUCAGAGGUGUAAUGGGGGUGUGAUUCUCCUGCCUACCUGCCAGUGAGAGGCAUCUGAAAAUGAAGACAGGAAAGGUGGUAGAAAGAGGGGGGGACGACAUGCAGCAAAGGGGCCAACUCGGGGUUGAACUCGACCUGGGCCGCUGCAGUGAGGACUGAGCCUAAGUACAUGGGGGCAUAUGGUUAACAAGUGAUGUGAUUCAUGACAUGGGAACCAUGAGUGUUGUGGUUAUCGAUAUUUCUGUUGGGGUUGUUUAUAUUUUUGUUGCCUGUUUGCGUAUUUCUGUAUGUUUCUGGUUUUGUGUGUUUAUUCUGUAUAUUUCUGUUCCCUGUUGUGUAGAUUUAUCCUGUUUUGUGUAUUCUGAGUAGUGUAUGUUUCUGUUUCCUGUUUUAUUUUGAUAGUCUGUUUUCUGUCUUGUCAUGUCUAGUUUUGCUUCCUGUGUGAUUGUCUGAUGUCCACCUGUUCCCCAGCCCUGGGGUCACCUGUCCCGUGUUUGCUCGUUACCUAGUUUAUUUAGCCUCUGUGUUUCCGUUGUCUCUUGUCAGAUCGUUGUUUGUGUUUGUGUCUUUCCUUGUCAGUUUGUUUCCUGUCAGUGUUUUUCACCCAUGUGCUUUUAUUUAGAAUUUUCCCUGUGAUCUUUUGUU